UACAGAGGGUGCAAGCGUUAAUCGGAAUUACUGGGCGUAAAGCGUGCGUAGACGGUUACAUAAGUCGGGUGUGAAAGCCCCGGGCUCAACCUGGGAAUUGCAUUCGAGACUGCGUAGCUAGGGUGCGGAAGAGGGAAGCGGAAUUUCCGGUGUAGCGGUGAAAUGCGUAGAUAUUGGGAGGAACACCAGUGGCGAAGGCGGCUCACUGGACCGGUUCUGAUGCUGAGGCGCGAAAGCGUGGGGAGCAAACGGG
This 253-nucleotide ribosomal RNA is filed under the name uncultured bacterium. Its description in RNAcentral is "partial 16S ribosomal RNA". It matches the Rfam family "Bacterial small subunit ribosomal RNA", at positions 524 to 776 of the family's 1533-position model. The record is from RNAcentral.